RNAcentral lists this ribosomal RNA (423 nucleotides) under Trebouxia decolorans. RNAcentral's name for it is "eukaryotic LSU rRNA". It matches the Rfam family "Eukaryotic large subunit ribosomal RNA", at positions 725 to 1165 of the family's 3401-position model. Lineage: Eukaryota; Viridiplantae; Chlorophyta; Trebouxiophyceae; Trebouxiales; Trebouxiaceae. The record is from RNAcentral.
CUGACUGGUGGGAUGGCUUAUGCCUGCACCAUCGACCGACCAUGAUCUUCUGUGAAAGGUUUGAGUACGAGCAUACCUGUUGGGACCCGAAAGAUGGUGAACUAUGCCUGAGCAGGGCGAAGCCAGAGGAAACUCUGGUGGAGGCUCGUAGAUGUGCUGACGUGCAAAUCGCUUUUCGGACUUGGGUAUAGGGGCGAAAGACUACUAGUAGCUGGUUCCCUCCGAAGUUUCCCCCAGGAUAGCUGGAGCUUGAUCAGUUUUAUCGGGUAAAGCGAAUGAUUAGAGGUACCGGGGAUGAAACAUCCUCGACCUAUUCUCAAACUUUAAAUAGGUAAGACGUCUGGGUUGCUUAAUUGAACCCAGGCAUUCAAUGAGAGCUCCAAGUGGGCCAUUUUUGGUAAGCAGAACUGGCGAUGCGGGAAG